GCCGGGGUGGCGUAGUUGGUAGCGCGUCGGACUCAUAAUCCGAAGGUCGCGGGUUCGAGCCCCGCUCCCGGCACCA
Molecule: transfer RNA, 76 nt
Filed under: Candidatus Poseidonia alphae
Lineage: Archaea; Methanobacteriati; Thermoplasmatota; Candidatus Poseidoniia; Candidatus Poseidoniales; Candidatus Poseidoniaceae
Also listed under: 7 other names
Description: tRNA-Met
Rfam family: tRNA
About the family: Transfer RNA (tRNA) molecules are approximately 80 nucleotides in length. Their secondary structure includes four short double-helical elements and three loops (D, anti-codon, and T loops). Further hydrogen bonds mediate the characteristic L-shaped molecular structure. tRNAs have two regions of fundamental functional importance: the anti-codon, which is responsible for specific mRNA codon recognition, and the 3' end, to which the tRNAs corresponding amino acid is attached (by aminoacyl-tRNA synthetases). tRNAs cope with the degeneracy of the genetic code in two manners: having more than one tRNA (with a specific anti-codon) for a particular amino acid; and 'wobble' base-pairing, i.e. permitting non-standard base-pairing at the 3rd anti-codon position.
Source: RNAcentral